RNAcentral lists this transfer RNA (66 nucleotides) under Oplophorus typus. RNAcentral describes it as "tRNA-Pro". The record is from RNAcentral. Lineage: Eukaryota; Metazoa; Arthropoda; Malacostraca; Decapoda; Oplophoridae.
CAGAAAAUAGUUUAUAUAAAAAUAUUAGUUUUGGGGACUGAAGACGGGAGUUUAUCUUUUUUCUGA